This 484-nucleotide ribosomal RNA is filed under the name uncultured bacterium. Its description in RNAcentral is "partial 16S ribosomal RNA". It matches the Rfam family "Bacterial small subunit ribosomal RNA", at positions 30 to 507 of the family's 1533-position model. The record is from RNAcentral.
AUUGAACGCUGGCGGCAGGCCUAACACAUGCAAGUCGAGCGGAUGAAGGGAGCUUGCUCCUGGAUUCCGCGGCGGACGGGUGAGUAAUGCCCAGGAAUCUGCCUGGUCGUGGGGGCUAACGUCCGGAAACGGGCGCUAAUACCGCAUCCGUUCAGAGGGAGAAACUCAGGGAUCUUUGGACCUCACGCUAUUAGAUGAGCCUAGGUCGGAUUAGCUAGUUGGUGGGGUAAAGGCCUACCAAGGCGACGAUCCGUAACUGGUCUGAGAGGAUGAUCAGUCACACUGGAACUGAGACACGGUCCAGACUCCUACGGGAGGCAGCAGUGGGGAAUAUUGGACAAUGGGCGAAAGCCUGAUCCAGCCAUGCCGCGUGUGUGAAGAAGGUCUUCGGAUUGUAAAGCACUUUUAGUUGGGAGGAAGGGCAGUAUGUUAAUACCUUGCUGUUUUGACGGUACCAACAGAAUAAGCACCGGCUAACUUCGUG